GUUGUAUGGUCAAGUAAUGAAGUGCACAUGGUGGAUGCCUUGGCAGUCAGAGGCGAUGAAAGACGUGAUAGCCUGCGAUAAGCGUCGGUGAGGUGGCAAUAUCCUGUGACCCGGCGAUUUCUGAAUGGGGAAACCCAACCAACAUAAGUUGGUUAUUACACAGUUUACUGUGUAAGGCAAACCGGGAGAAGUGAAACAUCUCAGUACCCCGAGGAAAAGACAUCAAAUGAGAUUCCGUAAGUAGCGGCGAGCGAACACGGAGGAGCCGAUCAAUUUUACAGUAGCAAAAUGGCGUGGGAAAGCCAACCAUAGUAGGUGAUAGUCCUGUAUGCGAAACUGUUUAAGCGACAUAUUAAGUAGGGCGGAACACGAGAAAUUCUGUCUGAAGAUGGGGGGACCAUCCUCCAAGGCUAAAUACUCCUGACUGACCGAUAGUGAACCAGUACCGUGAGGGAAAGGCGAAAAGAACCCCUGUUAGGGGAGUGAAAUAGAACCUGAAACCGUGUGCAUACAAGCAGUCGGAGCCCGACCACUUAAUCGUUUUGAGGAUAACAAUGAAUUUUUACUACGUCUAUGUCAUACAAAACGUGGAUAAUCAUGAUGAGUUUUAUGUUGGUUUUACCACCAAUUUAAAACAAAGAAUUGAUGACCAUAAUAAUGGCACAACUUACUCAACCAGAGCAAGAACAUGGCGUAUUGUUUAUUGUGAAGCCUACAUUAAUGAACAAGUGGCAAGAAAACGAGAGCGAACCAUAAAAAAUAAUGGUCGUAUGAGAACUUUCUUGAUGAAUCGUGUCAAAUCACAAUUUGACAAUCAGAACGAUUAAGUGGUCGGGUGACGGCGUACCUUUUGUAUAAUGGGUCAGCGACUUAUAUUCUGUAGCAAGGUUAACCGAAUAGGGGAGCCGUAGGGAAACCGAGUCUUAAUAGGGCGAUUAAGUUGCA
Molecule: ribosomal RNA, 945 nt
Filed under: Moraxella catarrhalis
Lineage: Bacteria; Pseudomonadati; Pseudomonadota; Gammaproteobacteria; Moraxellales; Moraxellaceae
Description: bacterial LSU rRNA
Rfam family: Bacterial large subunit ribosomal RNA
Source: RNAcentral